UAGGGGGUGUAGCAAUACAUCACCGGCGGACGGGUGCGUAACACGUGGGAAUAUACCUUUUGGUUCGGAACAACGCAGGGAAACUUGCGCUAAUACCGAAUGUGCCCUUACGGGGAAAGAUUUAUCGCCAAAGGAUUAGCCCGCGUCCGAUUAGCUAGUUGGUGAGGUAACGGCUCACCAAUGUCUCCGAUCGGUAGCUGUUCUGAGAGGAAGAUCAGCCACACUGGGACUGAGACACGGCCCAGACUCCUACGGGAGGCAGCAGUUGGGAAUCUUGGACAAUGGGGGAAACCCUGAUCCAGCCAUGCCGCGUGAGUGAUGAAGGCCUUCGGGUUGUAAAACUCUUUCGACGGGGACGAUAAUGACGGUACCCGUAGAAGAAGCUCCGGCUAACUUCGUG
This 400-nucleotide ribosomal RNA is filed under the name uncultured bacterium. RNAcentral describes it as "bacterial SSU rRNA". It matches the Rfam family "Bacterial small subunit ribosomal RNA", at positions 64 to 507 of the family's 1533-position model. The record is from RNAcentral.